UGCUGCUUUAAGCUUAGAUUCCUGAAAGAUCAAAGCACCAAUAUCCUGGUUAACACAGACCAAAGCAAAGGAAAACAUUCAAAUUGAGAACAAAUUUUCAAUAGUCAGUUGGUUAAAGGUUUGACACUUUGCAGUAGAGUGUUUUGGAUCUUAGUUAUGACACAACUUCACAUUACACUAGCUCUGCCAUUACAUUCAGUUUUAAAAGAAUAAAAUGAAGAGCCUAAUUAAUUUAUGCACA
Molecule: unclassified non-coding RNA, 241 nt
Filed under: Hevea brasiliensis (rubber tree)
Lineage: Eukaryota; Viridiplantae; Streptophyta; Magnoliopsida; Malpighiales; Euphorbiaceae
Source: RNAcentral